UAAAAACCCCGACUUCGGAAGGGGUGUAUUUAUUAGAUACAAAACCAAUGCCCUUCGGGGCUCUUUGGUGAUUCAUGAUAACUAUACGAAUCGCACGGCCUUGCGCCGGCGAUGGUUCAUUCAAAUUUCUUCCCUAUCAACUUUCGAUGUUUGGGUAUUGGCCAAACAUGGUUGCAACGGGUAACGGAGGGUUAGGGCUCGACCCCGGAGAAGGAGCCUGAGAAACGGCUACUACAUCCAAGGAAGGCAGCAGGCGCGCAAAUUACCCAAUCCCGACUCGGGGAGGUAGUGACAAUAAAUACUGAUACAGGGCCCUUUCGGGCCUUGUAAUUGGAAUGAGUACAAUUUAAAUCCCUUAACGAGGAACAAUUGGAGGGCAAGUCUGGUGCCAGCAGCCGCGGUAAUUCCGGCUCCAAUAGCGUAUAUUAAAGUUGUUGUGGUUAAAAAGCUCGUAGUUGAACCUUGGGCCUGGCUGGCCGGUCCGCCUCACCGCGUGCACUGGUCCGGCCGGGCCUUUCCCUCUGUGGAACCCCAUACCCUUCACUGGGCGUGGCGGGGAAACAGGACAUUUACUUU
This 576-nucleotide ribosomal RNA is filed under the name uncultured eukaryote. RNAcentral describes it as "SSU rRNA". It matches the Rfam family "Eukaryotic small subunit ribosomal RNA", at positions 174 to 758 of the family's 1831-position model. The record is from RNAcentral.